Molecule: unclassified non-coding RNA, 479 nt
Filed under: Hevea brasiliensis (rubber tree)
Lineage: Eukaryota; Viridiplantae; Streptophyta; Magnoliopsida; Malpighiales; Euphorbiaceae
Source: RNAcentral
AUUUUCUUCUGACUUCAACCCAACACAUUUUAGAGCAUAAACGCAAUCUUCUAUUUUUAGAAGAUGAUAAGGUAAAAAAAGAGAAAGGAAAGGAAUUUUUUGGGUUGGGAGCAAGGGGGAAGAAAAACGAGAAUUUAGCUGCCCACCCAGGAACAAAAACAAGUUGCUUCCUUGCCGAUUCUGCCACAGCCAUAUCUGGACCUUGAUAUGAUACUAGCAUGUGUCACAGAUUGAAGGGGCAUUUGAAAUGUGAGUAGUCGACGUAGCCUCCACCUAACUGGUUGGUGGGAAUGGAAAAGAAUCUUCUCCAACAGUAACCCAAAAAGAGUUAACCAGCAAAUACAUAUCUUGUUGCACCAUCUUCAUGCAUAGUACAUGUACAAGCUGUUUGCAGCAGCACAGGCAAUUGAAUUUUCAGUUGGAUGCCAUGCAAGAUGCAGCAACUUUGUUGUGAAAUCAAAAGAAUUUCCAUUUGCAUC